UCUAAACGGAUGCGGUAACUCUGACUGUACUUAAGUAGCAUAAUUAGUUGUCACUUAAUUGGUGGAGAGAAUGAAUGGUAAUACGAGCAUUUCAUUGUCUUAAUCUAAAAGUUUUUAAAAUUGAAAUAAUAGUGAAGAUGCUAUUAAAAAUCGUAAGACGAAAAGACCCUAUAGAGCUUUACUAUAACUUUAUAAUAAUUAUAAAUAAGAUUUUUAAUAUUAUUUUUAAGGUUGGUAGUUUAGUUGGGGCGACUGUCUUUUAUAAUUAACAAAGAUAAAGCAAAUAUUAAUAUAAUUAAUUUAUUGGAUAAUUUAUAAAUUUAACCAUUAUGAAAAUAGGCUAUAAUGACCCGUUAGAUUAAUUAAAAAUAUUUAACGACCUACAUUGAAUAAUAGCUUCCUUAGGGAUCACAGGA
RNAcentral lists this ribosomal RNA (416 nucleotides) under Hybocodon prolifer. Its description in RNAcentral is "partial 16S ribosomal RNA". It matches the Rfam family "Bacterial large subunit ribosomal RNA", at positions 1922 to 2482 of the family's 2925-position model. The record is from RNAcentral. Lineage: Eukaryota; Metazoa; Cnidaria; Hydrozoa; Anthoathecata; Tubulariidae.